GAGGGAGGGUGGGAGAGAGAGAGGGGGCAAUAAAUGAGGAGCAAUGGGGUCCAGGAUGGGCUUUAGGAGGUUUUACGAGGGGUGGAGCUCCUAAAGAAAUUAAAGCCUCCUAAAAGUUUUUAGUCACUUUUAGUCAUAGUGUUUGGCUCUUUAAUCCCUUUUAGUCACUUUUUAGGAUCUAAAAAUUUAGAAGGGUGGAAACAAAUAGGGCCUUAUUCUUGCCCACCUAGAAAGAGCAUUUCUGGCUCACUCGAGCUAGUAAUAGCUAGGAAAAUCUGGACAGCACAGGUUCCGAGGUGAUGUUACCAGGCAACCAAAAUCUAACACCACGCCCAUUAUCUUACCUAGCUAGGCAAUACAGUAACAGGGAAAAGUUCC
This 378-nucleotide long non-coding RNA is filed under the name Setaria viridis. RNAcentral describes it as "long non-coding RNA (SVIR_LNC002828)". The record is from RNAcentral. Lineage: Eukaryota; Viridiplantae; Streptophyta; Magnoliopsida; Poales; Poaceae.